RNAcentral lists this non-coding RNA (31 nucleotides) under Homo sapiens (human). The record is from RNAcentral. Lineage: Eukaryota; Metazoa; Chordata; Mammalia; Primates; Hominidae.
CCAAGACUUAGAGAUGGAAAGUAGUUCAAUG